UACAGAGGUCCCAAGCGUUGUUCGGAUUCACUGGGCGUAAAGGGUGCGUAGGUGGCGAGGUAAGUCGGAUGUGAAAUCUCGGAGCUCAACUCCGAAACGGCAUUGGAAACUACCUUGCUAGAGGGUUGGAGGGGGGACUGGAAUUCUCGGUGUAGCAGUGAAAUGCGUAGAUAUCGAGAGGAACACCAGUGGCGAAGGCGAGUCCCUGGACAACUCCUGACACUGAGGCACGAAAGCUAGGGGAGCAAACAGG
This 253-nucleotide ribosomal RNA is filed under the name uncultured bacterium. RNAcentral describes it as "partial 16S ribosomal RNA". It matches the Rfam family "Bacterial small subunit ribosomal RNA", at positions 524 to 776 of the family's 1533-position model. The record is from RNAcentral.